Molecule: non-coding RNA, 103 nt
Filed under: bovine gut metagenome
Description: NiCo riboswitch
Rfam family: NiCo (Nickel/Cobalt) riboswitch aptamer
Source: RNAcentral
ACAGCACAAACUGAGCAGGCAAUACUUCCCCAUGACCGGAGAAGUACGCAGCCGGGCCGUGAAAACGGCAGCAGAAGCAGCAUAAGCGCAUCUGCGGGACAGU